Molecule: transfer RNA, 65 nt
Filed under: Pambolus sp. QL-2013
Lineage: Eukaryota; Metazoa; Arthropoda; Insecta; Hymenoptera; Braconidae
Description: tRNA-Asn
Source: RNAcentral
UUUAUUGAAACCAAAAUUGAGGUAAAUUAUUGUUAAUAAUUUAAUUGAAUAAAAUUCCAAUAAAU